Molecule: ribosomal RNA, 468 nt
Filed under: uncultured bacterium
Lineage: Bacteria
Description: partial 16S ribosomal RNA
Rfam family: Bacterial small subunit ribosomal RNA
Source: RNAcentral
GACGAACGCUGGCGGCGUGCUUAACACAUGCAAGUCGAACGGAAAGGCCCUGCUUUUGUGGGGUGCUCGAGUGGCGAACGGGUGAGUAACACGUGAGUAACCUGCCCUUGACUUUGGGAUAACUUCAGGAAACUGGGGCUAAUACCGGAUAGGAGCUCCUGCUGCAUGGUGGGGGUUGGAAAGUUUCGGCGGUUGGGGAUGGACGCGCGGCUUAUCAGCUUGUUGGUGGGGUAGUGGCUUACCAAGGCUUUGACGGGUAGCCGGCCUGAGAGGGUGACCGGCCACAUUGGGACUGAGAUACGGCCCAGACUCCUACGGGAGGCAGCAGUGGGGAAUAUUGCACAAUGGGCGGAAGCCUGAUGAAGCAACGCCGCGUGCGGGAUGACGGCCUUCGGGUUGUAAACCGCUUUCGCCUGUGACGAAGCGUGAGUGACGGUAAUGGGUAAAGAAGCACCGGCUAACUACGUG